UACGGAGGGUGCAAGCGUUGUUCGGAAUUACUGGGCGUAAAGCGCGUGUAGGCGGCCUCCUCAGUCUGGUGUGAAAGCCCGGGGCUCACCCCCGGAAGUGCAUUGGAUACUGGGAGGCUGGAGUACCGGAGAGGAGGGUGGAAUUCCUGGUGUAGCGGUGAAAUGCGUAGAUAUCAGGAGGAACACCGGUGGCGAAGGCUGCCCUCUGGACGGAUACUGACGCUGAGACGCGAAAGCGUGGGGAGCAAACAGG
This 253-nucleotide ribosomal RNA is filed under the name uncultured bacterium. RNAcentral describes it as "partial 16S ribosomal RNA". It matches the Rfam family "Bacterial small subunit ribosomal RNA", at positions 524 to 776 of the family's 1533-position model. The record is from RNAcentral.